CCAUGAGAUAUUCUAGUUGCUGCUGAGUGUUUGGAUAAUAGUGUUGUGCCAUGGGUCAGAGAGGUGCUGCAGAAGGUUGUCAAAAGGUCCCUUUCCAGUGACAUUGUGCUGCACUAUGAAUCCCAAAAAUGCCAGCAUAGCCAAUCUCCCUGCAAAUGAUCCCAGUUGAAAAUGAGCCUAAUUCAAGUAUAUAGAUAAAUAUGUAGUGUCAUUUAGAAAGUGAACAUCCGUUUAAAUGACUUACCGUUAGCAAGUUCCUUCUCCUUGGCCUCUUCAGUUGCUGCAAAGUUGAGUGGGUUGAAAAUACCACCAGGGUAUCCACAUUCAUUAGGAGGCAAGCUGUAGUUCUUGAAGAUAGGGUCUUGGUUGACACAUCCUGGGUUCUUAAUGUCUUGCCACCUUCUGAUCUCGACGUAGUGGAACAAGA
This 427-nucleotide long non-coding RNA is filed under the name Capsicum annuum. RNAcentral's name for it is "long non-coding RNA (CANN_LNC004029)". Lineage: Eukaryota; Viridiplantae; Streptophyta; Magnoliopsida; Solanales; Solanaceae. The record is from RNAcentral.